Long non-coding RNA from Dreissena polymorpha, 207 nucleotides. RefSeq lists it as uncharacterized. The record is from RefSeq and is a predicted model, not a curated record. NCBI's taxonomy places the organism in Eukaryota, Metazoa, Mollusca, Bivalvia, Myida, Dreissenidae. The transcript has 3 exons.
CGUAACCGAUGGGAGUCAUACCUUUCGGGGUUUCGGGCUGUUCUAUAACUUCACAGAUCACGUGAUUCGAACGUGCCUGUCGGGUCAGUUCUCCUGCAACAACACUAACUGCGUACCGGGUAACUACCGAUGUGACGGCCAGGAUGACUGCGGUGACGACAGCGACAAAAAGAUCUGUCGGUCUAGUGUUACCACGCAAGAUUUCGG